AUGAGUGCGGCGACGAGUCCGACCAGGGCGAGCUGGAAGAGGAGGCCCAGGAGCUCGCCGCCCCUCAUGGUGAGGGCGCGCCCGACUUGGAUGGUGGCCGCCAAGGCCAACACCAAUGAGGAUGUCGUCCUGGAGUUUGUCGGGGACCUCAUCCCAUUUGACAAGGCGCGUGCCACUACGAGCGCGUCCCCAUGGAUGGCGGGAGGUGGAGGGUGGUUUGUGCAGGAUGGGGAGGUGGGAGAAGAAGAACUCUGA
Molecule: ribosomal RNA, 255 nt
Filed under: Triticum aestivum (bread wheat)
Lineage: Eukaryota; Viridiplantae; Streptophyta; Magnoliopsida; Poales; Poaceae
Description: partial small subunit ribosomal RNA
Source: RNAcentral